Molecule: small RNA, 159 nt
Filed under: Numida meleagris (helmeted guineafowl)
Lineage: Eukaryota; Metazoa; Chordata; Aves; Galliformes; Numididae
Description: TUC338 (ENSNMEG00000008464.1)
Source: RNAcentral
CUGAUAUCUCUAGAGGUUGAAGUCUGCUGUUGUCAAAUCAGAGCAAAAGAAACAGAAGAGUCUUCCCAUGGCAACUUGCCUUGAAGUUGUCUUCAAGUGACCACCUCCAGGGGUGAAAGAGCAUUUCAACUUCUGCGGCUCAUUCACUCCCAUGGCUCU